This is a long non-coding RNA of Syngnathoides biaculeatus (alligator pipefish), 1346 nucleotides long. RefSeq lists it as uncharacterized. The record is from RefSeq and is a predicted model, not a curated record. NCBI's taxonomy places the organism in Eukaryota, Metazoa, Chordata, Actinopteri, Syngnathiformes, Syngnathidae. The transcript is spliced from 3 exons.
GGCCGACGGGCCGCGGCGGAGGCGGCGACCGCGGAGGGCCGACCCGUCGCGGGGCGGCGGGAGGGCCGACGGCACCCCGGCGGCUCGGAAGGUCACACAAUCUCCGCGAUGAAGACGUCACUCUGGCAAAUCCGUUUGACAAGGAAACCCUUCCGUCUCGUCCCCCUUCAGUGCGAGGGGGUGUGCUCGAUCACCCGCCGUUGUCCCAGAGUGUCAAGACUGGAGCGGUUCCUCGACUCUCCUUGAAGACAGCAGAACGGAGAUUCCACUGUGAGCGAGCUCACCGAAGACAGCGGCAUGACUAAUGUCGUGCUUCGUGUAGCAGACUGGCAACCAUUUAGGGACCCGCUGGGACCCAGAACGGGAUUAGCGGUUGAAAAUGGACGGAUAAGAGGCCCAGUCUUUCAUUCGACGCUGUCCAGAUGGGUCACACUGUACACUUUAGCGAGGAAGACACUCGGUGGUAAUUCAACUCAAGACUGCAAUUUUCAAACGAUGAAACAAGUACUUUGUGCCCUGCCCUCGCGUCUUCCUCAACAACUGCAUCCUCGUCAUCCUUUGAACGAUAUCCUCACCUCCGGUGGUGUCCGAACCACCAGAGUCCCUAACUUUGUCUCCACAACAACUAACCUCGUCUGUUCCUCUGUUAAGCUCACUUCUAAUUUUCUUCAACCUGCUCACUCCUAGCGAGAAACCGCAACAUCUUCAUUUCUGCUCCUGUCCUCUCCACGGUCUUUAAUCCGUCCAUCAUGGCCGGCCUCGCCGCCGUUUCACAAACUUUGCCCUUCAUCUGAGCAGAGACUCUUCUGUCACACCUCCCUCCAGCCAUCCCAGCUUGCUUCGACUUGUUUCUUCACUUCCUGAGCACACACCCGCAAUUGCUCUGAACUGUUGACAACAAGUAUUUAAAGUCCUCCGCCCUCGCCAUCGCUUCUCUCUGGAGCCUCCUCCUUCCCUCUCCCCCUCUGCCAAUCAUACACAUAUAUUCAGUUUAAUUUCGACGAGUCUUCCUUUCGCUCCCUGCUUUCGCUCUUCCAUGUGCGAGCGUCGUGGUCCACGGGGACUCCAAUCUAUCCAUCACCAAUGCGAAGGGGAAGGGGCUUAGGGCUGAACCCUGCACCUUAAAUUCUUCGAUCACACCUCCGGCGGCCUUCACGCAUUCGAACACACUUCUCUGCCACUCCACAGUUCCUCCGCGGUUAUGAUGUCGGAAGCUUUCUCUCGAGCCACAAAGACACAACGUAGACCGAUCUGAGCUUCUCUGUACUCCUCUGUCGAUCCCCUCACGGCAAAUCAUGAAUCUGUGGAACUCUUCACCAUUCCUAACCGUUCACAAAUAUUUCUGU